UACGGAGGGGGCUAGCGUUGUUCGGAAUGACUGGGCGUCAAGGGCGCGUAGGCGGUUUAUUUCGUGAGGCGUGAAAGCCCUGGGCUUAACCCAGGAGGUGCGUUUCAUACUGGUAAGCUAGAGUGCGAGAGAGGAAAGUGGAAUUCCUAGUGUAGAGGUGAAAUUCGUAGAUAUUAGGAAGAACACCAGAGGCGAAGGCGGCUUUCUGGCUCGCAACUGACGCUGAGGCGCGAAAGCGUGGGGAGCAAACAGG
Molecule: ribosomal RNA, 253 nt
Filed under: uncultured bacterium
Lineage: Bacteria
Description: partial 16S ribosomal RNA
Rfam family: Bacterial small subunit ribosomal RNA
Source: RNAcentral